RNAcentral lists this long non-coding RNA (2415 nucleotides) under Homo sapiens (human). RNAcentral describes it as "HSALNT0357363". The record is from RNAcentral. Lineage: Eukaryota; Metazoa; Chordata; Mammalia; Primates; Hominidae.
UCCUGACCUCGUGAUCUGCCUGCCUCGGCCUCCCAAAGUGCCGGGAUUACAGGCGUGAGCCACCGCGCCGGGCCUGAUUUCAGUUUCUUCCAGCCCUUCCUAUUGUUAACAUGGGGGUUGUGUUGAAGAAUAUAAAGUUACAAAGUCAAGGAAGUAGGAAACAUUUUUACAAGUAUUAUGUAGCCAUCUUGGUGGGGCUGUGGUGAGGUAGGCUGCAAAUGAUUCUCCUAUUUCUUUCCCUGAGUUCAGAACAUAGGAAUUAGAUUGAUAGACAUCAACAUACCCGCUUUAUUGCUGACUCAUGACAACUAAUGGGAAGACAUGGCUCAGAUGUGCAGCCACAGUGAGCUUCUGAACAUUUCUUCUCAGACUAAGCUCUUACACACAGUUGCAGUUGAAAGAAAGAAUUGCUUGACAUGGCCACAGGAGCAGGCAGCUUCCUGCAGACAUGACAGUCAACGCAAACUCAUGUCACUGUGGGCAGACACAUGUUUGCAAAGAGACUCAGAGCCAAACAAGCACACUCAAUGUGCUUUGCCCAAAUUUACCCAUUAGGUAAAUCUUCCCUCCUCCCAAGAAGAAAGUGGAGAGAGCAUGAGUCCUCACAUGGAAACUUGAAGUCAGGGAAAUGAAGGCUCACCAAUUAUUUGUGCAUGGGUUUAAGUUUUCCUUGAAAUUAAGUUCAGGUUUGUCUUUGUGUGUACCAAUUAAUGACAAGAGGUUAGAUAGAAGUAUGCUAGAUGGCAAAGAGAAAUAUGUUUUGUGUCUUCAAUUUUGCUAAAAAUAACCCAGAACAUGGAUAAUUCAUUUAUUAAUUGAUUUUGGUAAGCCAAGUCCUAUUUGGAGAAAAUUAAUAGUUUUUCUAAAAAAGAAUUUUCUCAAUAUCACCUGGCUUGAUAACAUUUUUCUCCUUCGAGUUCCUUUUUCUGGAGUUUAACAAACUUGUUCUUUACAAAUAGAUUAUAUUGACUACCACUCACUGAUGUUAUGAUAUUAGUUUCUAUUGCUUACUUUGUAUUUCUAAUUUUAGGAUUCACAAUUUAGCUGGAGAACUAUUUUUUAACCUGUUGCACCUAAACAUGAUUGAGCUAGAAGACAGUUUUACCAUAUGCAUGCAUUUUCUCUGAGUUAUAUUUUAAAAUCUAUACAUUUCUCCUAAAUAUGGAGGAAAUCACUGGCAUCAAAUGCCAGUCUCAGACGGAAGACCUAAAGCCCAUUUCUGGCCUGGAGCUACUUGGCUUUGUGACCUAUGGUGAGGCAUAAGUGCUCUGAGUUUGUGUUGCCUCUUUUGUAAAAUGAGGGUUUGACUUAAUCAGUGAUUUUCAUAGCUUAAAAUUUUUUUGAAGAACAGAACUUUUUUUAAAAACAGUUAGAUGCAACCAUAUUAUAUAAAACAGAACAGAUACAAGUAGAGCUAACUUGCUAAAGAAAGGAUGGAGGCUCUGAAGCUGUGACUUCAUUAUCCCUUAAUACUGCUAUGUCCUCUGUAGUACCUUAGAUUUCUAUGGGACAUCGUUUAAAAACUAUUGUUUAUGCGAGAGCCUUGCUAAUUUCCUAAAAAUUGUGGAUACAUUUUUUCUCCCAUGUAUAAUUUUCUCACCUUCUAUUUAAAAAGAAAAAAAAAGUCAGUGUAGUAUUUACAUAUUUUACCCUAUAAGGAGCUAACAUAACUUUUGAUUUAGUGUUAUUCAUAAAAUUAGGUUAGCAGUUUAUUAACCUUUUGUAUUUGCUCUGGCAAUGUUUAAUAUCUCAUAAGCUAUACACACCUCGAAGCCAUCAAUGACAACCUUUUCUUGCUGAAUAGAACAGUGAUUGAUGUCAUGAAGACAAUUUUAUCUCCUUUUGCCUUCCAUAAUUUGUACCAGGUUAUAUAAUAGUAUAACACUGCCAAGGAGCGGAUUAUCUCAUCUUCAUCCUGUAAUUCCAGUGUUUGUCACGUGGUUGUUGAAUAAAUGAAUAAAGAAUGAGAAAACCAGAAGCUCUGAUACAUAAUCAUAAUGAUAAUUAUUUCAAUGCACAACUACGGGUGGUGCUGAACUAGAAUCUAUAUUUUCUGAAACUGGCUCCUCUAGGAUCUACUAAUGAUUUAAAUCUAAAAGAUGAAGUUAGUAAAGCAUCAGAAAAAAAAGGUAAACAAAUUGCUCCUGUGGAGAUGAUUGGCAUCACAUGGUGUUUUGAGCUGAUACACCCAACACUUGAGCUCACUGCAACAGUACCAGAUUUUCACCGCUAUGCCUCCUUUCACUCUGGGAGUCUUCCAGAGGUCUUGCACUCGGGAGAGCAUGCUCAGGUUUCCCCAGCUCUACAAAAUCACCCAGAAUGCCAAAGACUUCAACACAAGGAGAGCCUCAAGCAUAAAUCAGCAAUGUUCACCAUGGGCAAAGCAACAUGAUUAUUUGGAAGAAAUAUUUUUGA